GGUGCGGGCCGGGCCCCUCUGGCGUCGGCGGGAUUUACCCGCUGCGUGAUGUCGGACCGCAUCG
Sphingopyxis alaskensis RB2256 is the source of this 64-nucleotide regulatory RNA element. It matches the Rfam family "terC RNA". The record is from Rfam. NCBI's taxonomy places the organism in Bacteria, Pseudomonadati, Pseudomonadota, Alphaproteobacteria, Sphingomonadales, Sphingopyxidaceae.